UGGGGAAUCUUGGACAAUGGGCGCAAGCCUGAUCCAGCCAUGCCGCGUGAGUGAUGAAGGCCCUAGGGUUGUAAAGCUCUUUCAACGGUGAAGAUAAUGACGGUAACCGUAGAAGAAGCCCCGGCUAACUUUGUGCCAGCAGCCGCGGUAAUACGAAGGGGGCUAGCGUUGUUCGGAAUUACUGGGCGUAAAGCGCACGUAGGCGGAUACUUAAGUCAGGGGUGAAAUCCCGGGGCUCAACCCCGGAACUGCCUUUGAUACUGGGUAUCUGGAGUCCGGAAGAGGUGAGUGGAAUUCCGAGUGUAGAGGUGAAAUUCGUAGAUAUUCGGAGGAACACCAGUGGCGAAGGCGGCUCACUGGUCCGGUACUGACGCUGAGGUGCGAAAGCGUGGGGAGCAAACAGGAUUAGAUACCCUCGUAGUCCCUGAGCGGGCUGGCAAGGCGCAU
RNAcentral lists this ribosomal RNA (447 nucleotides) under uncultured bacterium. RNAcentral describes it as "bacterial SSU rRNA". It matches the Rfam family "Bacterial small subunit ribosomal RNA", at positions 355 to 825 of the family's 1533-position model. The record is from RNAcentral.